CCUACGGGAGGCAGCAGUGAGGAAUAUUGGUCAAUGGACGAGAGUCUGAACCAGCCAAGUAGCGUGAAGGAUGACUGCCCUAUGGGUUGUAAACUUCUUUUAUAAAGGAAUAAAACGAGGCACGUGUGCCUUUUUGCAUGUACUUUAUGAAUAAGGAUCGGCUAACUCCGUGCCAGCAACCGCGGUAAUACGGAGGCUCCGAGCGUUAUCCGGAUUUAUUGGGUUUAAAGGGAGCGUAGGUGGGUUGUUAAGUCAGUUGUGAAAGUGUGCGGCUCAACCGUAAAAUUGCAAUUGAUACUGGCAGGCUUGAGUACAGUUGAGGUAGGCGGAAUUCGUGGUGUAGCGGUGAAAUGCUUAGAUAUCACGAAGAACCCCGAUUGCGAAGGCAGCUUACUAAACUGUGACUGACAUUGAGGCUCGAAAGUGUGGGUAGCAAACAGGAUUAGAUACCCCAGUAGUC
RNAcentral lists this ribosomal RNA (460 nucleotides) under uncultured bacterium. RNAcentral describes it as "partial 16S ribosomal RNA". It matches the Rfam family "Bacterial small subunit ribosomal RNA", at positions 338 to 795 of the family's 1533-position model. The record is from RNAcentral.